GAAGGGGGUAGUCGAUGGGAACCACGUUAAUAUUCGUGGGCCUGGGAGUGUGUGACGGAUUUCGAAAGUUGUCAUCCCUUAAUGGAUUGGGAUGGCGGCCUGGAAGUCCCAGGAAAUAGCCCUCCCAUAUAGACCGUACCCUAAACCGACACAGGUGGGCAGGUAGAGUAUACCAAGGCGCUUGAGAGAAGUAUCCUGAAGGAACUCGGCAAAUUACCUCCGUAACUUCGGGAGAAGGAGGCCCUAUCAGAAGGCAACUUUUGGUAGGGGGCACAAGCUGGGGGGUAGCGACUGUUUAGCAAAAACACAGGGCUCUGCUAAGUCGGCUUCAAGACGACGUAUAGGGUCUGACGCCUGCCCGGUGCUCGAAGGUUAAGAGGAGGAGUGCAAGCUCU
This 395-nucleotide ribosomal RNA is filed under the name Heterosigma akashiwo. RNAcentral's name for it is "partial Bacterial large subunit ribosomal RNA". It matches the Rfam family "Bacterial large subunit ribosomal RNA", at positions 1404 to 1908 of the family's 2925-position model. The record is from RNAcentral. Lineage: Eukaryota; Raphidophyceae; Chattonellales; Chattonellaceae.